Molecule: ribosomal RNA, 253 nt
Filed under: uncultured bacterium
Lineage: Bacteria
Description: partial 16S ribosomal RNA
Rfam family: Bacterial small subunit ribosomal RNA
Source: RNAcentral
UACGAAGGGGGCGAGCGUUGUUCGGAAUCAUUGGGCGUAAAGGGCGCGUAGGCGGACUUAUAAGUCGGUUGUGAAAUCCCUGGGCUUAACCUGGGAAUUGCAUUCGAAACUGCAAGUCUUGAGUUCUCGAGAGGAUGGUGGAAUUCCUGGAGUAGUAGUGAAAUACGUAGAUAUCAGGAGGAACACCGGAGGCGAAGGCGGCCAUCUGGCGAGACACUGACGCUAAGGCGCGAAAGCGUGGGUAGCAAACAGG